AUCUCUUCCUGGAGGUUGCUCCUUGUGGAGUUUUUAUGAGCCUCCAACACCGGUUGCACGUUUUGUGACUGCAUAAGAGUUCAAAGUAAACUUUAGGAAAACUGGAGGGGUGUCCUGUGGCCAUGCUACUCUUUUGUGGAGUUGAAAGGGAAAAGCUGCUUCAGACUAUUCCUGCAGUGAAUGAUGGAGAAUGAGAAGACAGAGGGCUUCACUGGUUCUUGGAGGAACUGAAAUUCAUUUAUAAAGCUAGAGGGCAGCCAGAUCUUCUUUAACGCUGAAGAGAGCUCAUUGACAUUUGGCAUUUGAUGUCCCUCUUUCUUGCAAUUGGAUAAAAUGGAUAACAAGGAUAUUCAGGGAAGGUAAAGCUUUUUCACAGAAUCAGCAGCAUUUGGGCUUUUUAUACAUUUAUUUAACCACUUAGAAUCUGUCUCUACUCAAACUUUUGUGUUUUUGUGCUCUGUCUGGACAAAGAAGAAACCUGUCCUGUAACACUGUCGUUUUUAUUAUCAGGAUGUUUGAUUAAUUUUUCCACAAAUUGAACUUAAAGGCCAAGCACUUUUUCCUUUCUCUUGCAUGCAUAUAAUAAAGCAUCUUGCUCGUUAAAGCCAACACUCCCAACUGGAAUGUGUGUCUGCUGUCCUAACAGGAAAUUAUCUAUAUUGUCUAAAGCUUUUAUUUUGAGGGUUCUAAUAGUACUCUUAUUCAAAAGUUCAUUUCUCCUAAUAUGAUGGUUCUCUAAUUAAUGGUCAGUGAGAUACUAAUCCUGUUUAGCAUGUUGAAUCCCUCCAUCUGGACAAGUUGAAUGCUUGGUUUUAAUAUAUGUGAAAGAAUCUUGUAUUUUUAGAAAUGUUUAUUAAUAAAUGUUAUACUCCAGCAACAGAGCUAGUCACAGAUAUUUGUAUUCUCAGUGCAUGGUGCCAGCCAUUUGUCAAGUUGAUCCCUUUGUCAUCAACUGGUACAGGAAUUCUCGAUGUGGAACUGCCCUGUGUAUACUCUGUUACCCCAAUAUAAGCAACAGAAUCAUUUGUUUAUGCAGGGAUUUUGGAAAAUGCCCACUUUCUUCCCCUCCUAAACAAACAUAUCCUUUCCAUAAGCACUCUAGGUAUGCAGCUUCUACCCUGCUUGAAAUGCAUGGUAUUUUUAUGUGAAGAGAAGCAAGUGACUGAAGGCAUAAAUCAAUCUUCACUUUUAGGAGCAUGGCUGUCCUCCAAGUAGAUACUCUUUGGAUGUGUUUGGGAUGACAUCAAACAGAUUAUAUUCCACACUCCAAAUCUUUCACGUUUCUUACCAGAAUUUGGCAUUAGACCCAAUCUGAUAUUCUGCCUUCUGAACACAAGCGAUUCCAUUCAAUCUACAAUCUGCUCAAACAGAAAAGGAAUGAGAAUGCCUGGAUUGCAUUUAUGAACAAAAAGGGAUUAACCAUUUGUGUUAAAGCUUCAAUUCUUUUUUUUAGCCUGACCCUAUUUUAUCAGAGCAAACUGAAGAACAAUGGCUCUGGAAAUAGAUACAAGAAUCAGCAGCAGAACAGAGACUGUUGUAAUGUGCAUAACUAUAAUUAACUUCAAAGGGAAUGAGGCCUAUGCAUCAGUUGGCAGCAAGACAGGGACUUCACCUUUUAGAAUAAGAUAACACCAAAUAUUGCCUAUCUAAUCACAUUUCCAAUGUGUUUAGAGCUCUUUCCAUUCCUCUGUGAACCAUAAUCCUUGUUCAUCUCCAUAUUAUACUUUCUUUAUAGUUUCAUUGAGAACUUCCUAGGAAGCUUUGAUUUUUACUUUUUUUCGUAAGUCUAUCAUAUACACUUUCCUUUUAUUUUGUGCUCUUUAUUUUUAUUCCUAGCCUCAGAGCUAGACAUUUUUGCUGGUCACUUUUGCCAAUUGAUUUUUUAUCUAUUUUGUAACUAUAAUCAUGCACAAUAAAAUGGAUAAUUGCAGUACUGUAACUCUUUUCUUCCAUUCUAAGAUAAGGACUCAGAGCUGUUUAUGCCAAUUCUUCACACAGUGCUGUAAUUACUCUUUUAUAUAUUUUCUAGAAGUGUGUGUGUAUACAUGUGUGCAUUUCACUACUAUAUUAAAGUAAAAUGUUGAUACUGUACUUGUAAAGAGUCUUUGAAAAAAAAAAAAACUAUGAAAAUAAGGUUUUUUAGUUAUUACUACAGUAAGCCUGGAUAUUAUUUUUUGUCUGAUGAGAUCUGUAAAUAAAAAUCUUUUUCUUUUU
Molecule: long non-coding RNA, 2214 nt
Organism: Gallus gallus (chicken)
Lineage: Eukaryota; Metazoa; Chordata; Aves; Galliformes; Phasianidae
Source: Ensembl